AUCUAUCUAAUGAGUCCGAAAUAGGACGAAAUGCUUGUCCUGGAU
This 45-nucleotide non-coding RNA is filed under the name Schistosoma margrebowiei. Lineage: Eukaryota; Metazoa; Platyhelminthes; Trematoda; Strigeidida; Schistosomatidae. The record is from RNAcentral.